CGGCCGCGGUACUCUGACCGUGCAAAGGUAGCAUAAUCAUUUGCCUUAUAAUUGAAGGCUAGUAUGAAUGGUUUGACAAGAAUGUAUCUGUCUCUCUAUAAUUAAAUAGAAUUUUAUUUAUGGGUGAAGAAGCCCAUAUAAAAUUAAAAGACAAGAAGACCCUAUCGAGCUUUAAAAAAUUUAAUAGGUUCAAAAAUUAAUAAUAUUAAAAAAUUAACUAUUAAACAUUUUAGUUGGGGCGACUAAGGAACAUAAAAAGCUUCCUUUAAAUAUACUUAAAUCCUACAAGAAUUGAUCCAAAAUAUUUUGAUUAAAGGAAUUAGUUACCGUAGGGAUAACAGCAUUAUCUUUUUUAAGAGCUCAUAUCGAAAAAAAGGUUUGUGACCUCGAUGUUGGACCAGAAUAUCCUAAAGGUGCAGCAGCCUUUAAGGGUUGGUCUGUUCGACCAUUAAAAUUCUACGUGAUCUGAGUUCAGACCGGGGGGAGGACCC
This 491-nucleotide ribosomal RNA is filed under the name Nassodonta insignis. RNAcentral's name for it is "partial large subunit ribosomal RNA". It matches the Rfam family "Bacterial large subunit ribosomal RNA", at positions 1928 to 2628 of the family's 2925-position model. The record is from RNAcentral. Lineage: Eukaryota; Metazoa; Mollusca; Gastropoda; Neogastropoda; Nassariidae.